Molecule: ribosomal RNA, 448 nt
Filed under: uncultured bacterium
Lineage: Bacteria
Description: bacterial SSU rRNA
Rfam family: Bacterial small subunit ribosomal RNA
Source: RNAcentral
AACGAACGCUGGCGGCAGGCCUAACACAUGCAAGUCGAGCGCCCAGCAAUGGGAGCGGCAGACGGGUGAGUAACACGUGGGAACCUUCCCUAUAGUACGGAAUAGCCCAGGGAAACUUGGAGUAAUACCGCAUACGCCCGAGAGGGGAAAGAUUUAUCGCUAUAGGAUGGGCCCGCGUAGGAUUAGCUAGUUGGUGAGGUAAUGGCUCACCAAGGCGACGAUCCUUAGCUGGUCUGAGAGGACGACCAGCCACACUGGGACUGAGACACGGCCCAGACUCCUACGGGAGGCAGCAGUUGGGAAUCUUGGACAAUGGGGGGAAACCCUGAUCCAGCCAUGCCGCGUGAGUGAUGAAGGCCUUCGGGUUGUAAACUCUUUCGCGCACGACGAUAAUGACGGUAGUGCGAGAAGAAGCUCCGGCUAACUUCGUGCCAGCAGCCGCGGUAAU